AACGAACGCUGGCGGCAGGCCUAACACAUGCAAGUCGAACGAAGCCUUCGGGCUUAGCGGCGGACGGGUGAGUAACGCGUGGGAACGUGCCCUCUGGUACGGAAUAGCCCCGGGAAACUGGGAGUAAUACCGUAUGUGGUCGAGAGACGAAAGAUUUAUCGCCAAAGGAUCGGCCCGCGUUGGAUUAGGUAGUUGGUGGGGUAAUGGCCUACCAAGCCGACGAUCCAUAGCUGGUUUGAGAGGAUGAUCAGCCACACUGGGACUGAGACACGGCCCAGACUCCUACGGGAGGCAGCAGUGAGGAAGCUUAGACAAUGGGGGAAACUCUGAUCUAGCCAUGCCGCGUGAUCGAUGAAGGCCUUAGGGUUGUAAAGAUCUUUCAGUGGGGAAGAUAAUGACUGUACCCACAGAAGAAGCCCCGGCUAACUCCGUGCCAGCUGCCGCCGUAA
This 449-nucleotide ribosomal RNA is filed under the name uncultured bacterium. Its description in RNAcentral is "partial 16S ribosomal RNA". It matches the Rfam family "Bacterial small subunit ribosomal RNA", at positions 29 to 523 of the family's 1533-position model. The record is from RNAcentral.